This 1143-nucleotide long non-coding RNA is filed under the name Pan paniscus (pygmy chimpanzee). Its description in RNAcentral is "lncRNA (ENSPPAG00000044147.1)". Lineage: Eukaryota; Metazoa; Chordata; Mammalia; Primates; Hominidae. The record is from RNAcentral.
CGGAAACACGCUGCUGCAGGAAACUCUUUUGCCCCCAAGUGGCCCCUUGUUCACAUUCCUGUGGCUCCAGAGGAGGACUGGCCUGGCCUGAAGUCAUCUAUCAUGGCUGGUCAGGCUGGAGGGGCUGUUGGAAUCAGCUUGUCCCACCUUCUCCUUUUCACAGACCCAGAAAUGGAGGUGCAGACAGGGACAGGGCUCUGCUCAAAUACACAGGAGCUCAAAGCAGGGGUAGGACAGCUACCAUGGAAGAGCCUUAUGACAUGCAAAGAGUUUGGCUUCCAUCCAAUACUCAGUCCAGUCCCGCAAGGUGAGACUAAAGAGCUACAAAGUGAGUGUUCUGGACACUCUGAGAAUCUACAACUGGAGAAGCCAACAUUGCCUGUGGACUGAGAGCCACAUCCCAGAAAGUGAUGUUCAAGUUGAGAUGGGAAAGAUGGGUUGGAAAUGGGGGGGGCAGGGGGAUGAGGGAGGAGGAUGCUGGGGGAGAAAAGAAAAAUCCUGGCCGAGGAAACUAAGUAUGUCAGGCUCCUGAGGAGUGGGGAGGCAGCAUGGUGGACCAGAGGGGCUUGGUGAAGCCAGAGAGGACAGAGGGAAUGCUUGACACAUCAAGCCUUUGUUUUCUCUCAUCCAGAUGUCCAGUGGUCUCAGGCAAAGGCCCAGGCAACGGAGGCUUCCCAUGGGGCCCUCUACCUCUUCACUGCUCCAGGUGGGCCCAGGCUCAUCAGACCACGGGGCCCCCAUUGCCUUCUCAGGGGCUCCCCCAUGCUAGCCGGGGAAUCAAGGUCAACACAGGCUCCACACUCCCCUGAGUCCUGCACCUACCCCACGCUUGCUGAGGGCCUCCAGAGGACAGCUUCUGUCCCUCCUACCACAGGUCGGAUCUGCAGCCUGACGUGGCCAUUCCUCCAGUGUUUGGAGAAUCAUUGCCUUGCCUUCAUUCAGGAGCCAGAUUGCCUGGGCUAGAAUCCCAGCUCCACCAUUCACCAGCUGUGUAAACUCCCUGGGCCUCAGUUUUCUCACCUGUAAAACGGGAUUCAUUGGACUGUUAUGGAUUAAAUGAGUUGACUUUUAUAAAGAACUUAGAAGAACCUUAUUUAUUUGUUAUGUACAAAAUGAAAUUCCAUCCUGCCUAAUAAAUAUCAG